This 1517-nucleotide unclassified non-coding RNA is filed under the name Hevea brasiliensis (rubber tree). Lineage: Eukaryota; Viridiplantae; Streptophyta; Magnoliopsida; Malpighiales; Euphorbiaceae. The record is from RNAcentral.
CUUGUCUCCUGUGUAUCCUUUCCCAGCAAUGCUUCGUUACUGAUCCCAAUCACAUUCUUGCAAUGCAUCUCAUAAAUGGACUCAUCAUGAAAUACUGAUAUUCUGAACCUUGAAAAGAACCACUCUAUUAAAUCAAAGUUUUUACUCUCAUUUGGAUACAGACAAUCGACAGCUAUGAAACACAGUUCAGAAAGCAAAUUGCCCACAGAUGCAUCUAUCAACUCUGGGUUACUGGAAGCAUCAUUCCCUCUUAUGAAUUUUCUGAACCAUUUCUUCUGAAACCUCUUCCCAUUAGAUUUAGAAAUCAAAAGGGGUCCAAUUAAUUGAUCAGCAACUGUUUUUUCACAUUCUGGCUCUUGAGAAGCUUUCUGAGCCUUGGGGUCUUCUGUUUCACUAGGCAAGUCUUUAUAUUCCCAAUUGACAUAGGGAUAUGAUAAGUACUUGCUCUUCUUCCUUUCUCUCAACUCAGAGCUCCUUUCUACUGUUGUUGGAGAUCCCAAGAUACACAUAUUCUCCUUAGAUGGAGAAGCUGAUAGGCUAAUUUCUUGACCUUCAACUUUAAGUUCAAAACACCUCUUCCUCUUUCUCUUAUUAGAAUUUGAUGCCAGAUCAUUUGGGACACCAUUUCCUUCAUGAAGGUUGCCUUUGCAAAUCUCUGCCAUAGUAUCCAGAUCCCCUCCAAAAAUUGUGGCUAGGCCUUCCUUCUUCUUAUGCAGUAGAACUUUAUCCUCUGUGCUUUGUGAUUCCCCUUUGGCAGGUCCCGAAUUUUGCCCUCCAACUUGAGCAUCAAUUUGACCUUUUGCCAUUAACUUGUCACCAGAAUUGUCUUGGUCAUCAGUUGAUUUCCAGAGUUGUUCCAUAGGCAACUGACUAUGUCCUAUGGAAUGAUAAAAUGCUGACAAAAAAUUCUUUGCUACAGUUAAUUCAAGCAUGUCAAGCUGGGAGACAGCCUGUGCAAUAUUUUUAAUUUGCGCAAGAAACUUCACUGGUUCAACCUGGCUACAUGAAAAUUCCCCGAAUCUGCUCCCUGGCAAAGAAGCCCCUUGAAUUUCAACAAUAUCAGAUGAUUGCUGAAUUUCUUUGAGGAUACAAGGACAAGUAAUCUCUGAUUUCAGGCACUUACCAAACUCAUCCACCGCUUUCUGUACUGCUCUUAAAAAGCUUCUGGACUUGUUUUGCCCAGUCAUCCGUUCAAAAUUCUCAUGAAAAGGCUUUAAUUGAGAUGGCAAGCACCAUGCAACGUGGCUACUUCCCAAAUAACCAACCAACAGGCAGUUCCUCUGGUCACUCCCCACAGCAUAUUUUCUUGCAUCUAAUGGAUCAUAAAUCUUUCCAGGCCACCAAGACUGAUUUUUGGUUUUAAUCCAUAUAAUAUCGCCUACAUGGAACUUCCCCCUUAGCUCUGCCAUCUCCUCAUCACCAACUUCUUUAGACUCCUCUUGAGCAUCCAUGUCUUUGAGAUUGCCAAAAUUUACCCUACUCAGAGAAUCAGAAAAAUCUACAUAAAGUGAUAUAUU